CAUGCAAGUCGAACGGAAGGCUCCAGCUUGCUGGAGUACUCGAGUGGCGAACGGGUGAGUAACACGUGGGUAAUCUGCCCUGCACUCUGGGAUAAGCCUGGGAAACUGGGUCUAAUACUGGAUAUGACCUUUCUCCUUAUGGGGUUUGGUGGAAAGUUUUUCGGUGUAGGAUGAGCCCGCGGCCUAUCAGCUUGUUGGUGGGGUGAUGGCCUACCAAGGCGACGACGGGUAGCCGGCCUGAGAGGGUGAUCGGCCACAUUGGGACUGAGAUACGGCCCAGACUCCUACGGGAGGCAGCAGUGGGGAAUAUUGCACAAUGGGCGGAAGCCUGAUGCAGCGACGCCGCGUGAGGGAUGACGGCCUUCGGGUUGUAAACCUCUUUCAGCAGGGACGAAGCGUAAGUGACGGUACCUGCAGAAGAAGCACCGGCUAACUAUGUGCCAG
RNAcentral lists this ribosomal RNA (444 nucleotides) under uncultured bacterium. RNAcentral describes it as "bacterial SSU rRNA". It matches the Rfam family "Bacterial small subunit ribosomal RNA", at positions 54 to 511 of the family's 1533-position model. The record is from RNAcentral.